This 773-nucleotide long non-coding RNA is filed under the name Homo sapiens (human). RNAcentral describes it as "novel transcript". Lineage: Eukaryota; Metazoa; Chordata; Mammalia; Primates; Hominidae. The record is from RNAcentral.
CCUCUUGAGAUUUUAUCUGUUCCUAUUUGAUGUCCCUGACGGUGUAUAACUCCCGCUUCAGUUUUGAGCUUUCUUGGGGAAGAAAACACAUGCACAAAUCCUGGUGUAAGGAAUAUUUUAAGCAUAUAUCUUCAAUAUCAUUCAUCCAGGACCGAGGUGCUACACAUGAAACUUGUAACCAGUUACUACAGGCGAAAGCAAAUCCAUGUCUUCAGGCUGGUGUCAUCAGGGAGAGAAGCUUUGGUUUCCACAUAAGGAUAUAAGAUCAUUGAUGUAAAACAAGUGAGUUUCACUUUAUACCCAGGACAUGUAACCUCUCAAAUUGAGAGAAUGGAUUGGAGAGAUAUUGUUGACCAUGUUUUCCCCUGUAUCUCACCUUCCCCUCUCCAAGACUUCCUUGUCAGUUACCCAUAUUGAUAUCAGUUUAUCCACAUCCAUGCUUUCAAGUUUAAACAAAGAAACUAGGCAAAGGCAGCUAUGUAUUCGCUAGGAUUAGGGAGGAGAAGAUAAUGAACCACUGGAUAGUGAGAAGAAAGAGAGGUGGAGAAAGUGAGAGACCCCAGUAACAGAGGACAGGGACACAUUGCUAAGGAUAGGGACACAUUCACUGUAAUAUAGAAGGCCAUGCUUAUAUGUAAAAUAUGCAGUAAUUGUAUAUAUAUGUACAAAAGUGAUGACACACAUAUGCACAUAAACAAAACACAAUUACUGUCUAUGUUUCUUUAUUUGUGACCUAAUGUUUUAUGUUGUUUGUAACUGAAAAAAAAAUUCCC